This 78-nucleotide small nuclear RNA is filed under the name Chlorocebus sabaeus (green monkey). RNAcentral describes it as "U2 spliceosomal RNA (ENSCSAG00000025804.1)". It matches the Rfam family "U2 spliceosomal RNA", at positions 1 to 86 of the family's 192-position model. Rfam says of the family: U2 is a small nuclear RNA (snRNA) component of the spliceosome (involved in pre-mRNA splicing). Complementary binding between U2 snRNA (in an area lying towards the 5' end but 3' to hairpin I) and the branchpoint sequence (BPS) of the intron results the bulging out of an unpaired adenosine, on the BPS, which initiates a nucleophilic attack at the intronic 5' splice site, thus starting the first of two transesterification reactions that mediate splicing. Lineage: Eukaryota; Metazoa; Chordata; Mammalia; Primates; Cercopithecidae. The record is from RNAcentral.
AUCACUUCUCAGCCUUUUGGCUAAGAUCAAGUGUAGUAUCUGUUCUUAUCAGUAAAAGGGAAUUUCUUUGAAACACAU